AGCUUUAAGUUUUAUUUAAAGUGAAGCCUGCCCAGUGCUAAUUUGUAAACGGCCGCAGUACCUUGACUGUGCUAAGGUAGCAUAAUCAGUUGGCUUUUAAAUGGAGUCGGGAAUGAAUGGAUUAAUAGGGUUAAGCUGUCUCUAUUAUAUUAAAUUGAAUUUACUUAUUAGGUGAAAAUACCUAAAUUAUAAAAGAAAAAAGACGAGAAGACCCUAGGAGUUUUAACUAAAUACUAUUUAUGAUAGUUAAUGUUUUUGUUGGGGCGACAUUGGAACAAGUAUAUUUAACUUCCUUUAUACUAUAAGCCGACUUUGUAUGUGAAUUUAAACUACCCUAGGGAUAACAGCGUAAUUCUUUUGAGUUUGCGACCUCGAUGUUGGACUAGGAAUUUGGUAGGCUAGCCGCCUACUUAUAUUGUUCUGUUCGAACUGUUUUUCCUACAU
This 444-nucleotide ribosomal RNA is filed under the name Plakobranchus ocellatus. RNAcentral's name for it is "partial 16S ribosomal RNA". It matches the Rfam family "Bacterial large subunit ribosomal RNA", at positions 1832 to 2601 of the family's 2925-position model. The record is from RNAcentral. Lineage: Eukaryota; Metazoa; Mollusca; Gastropoda; Plakobranchidae.